GGCGUAAGCGCGCGCAGGUGGUUUCUUAAGUCUGAUGUGAAAGCCCACGGCUCAACCGUGGAGGGUCAUUGGAAACUGGGAGACUUGAGUGCAGAAGAGGAAAGUGGAAUUCCAUGUGUAGCGGUGAAAUGCGUAGAGAUAUGGAGGAACACCAGUGGCGAAGGCGACUUUCUGGUCUGCAACUGACACUGAGGCGCGAAAGCGUGGGGAGCAAACAGGAUUAAAUCCCCUGGUAGUCCCCGCCGUAAACGAUGAGUGCUAGGUGUUAGAGGUUUUCCCCCCUU
This 284-nucleotide ribosomal RNA is filed under the name Geobacillus stearothermophilus. RNAcentral's name for it is "partial 16S ribosomal RNA". It matches the Rfam family "Bacterial small subunit ribosomal RNA", at positions 557 to 841 of the family's 1533-position model. The record is from RNAcentral. Lineage: Bacteria; Bacillati; Bacillota; Bacilli; Caryophanales; Anoxybacillaceae.